RNAcentral lists this long non-coding RNA (1656 nucleotides) under Oncorhynchus mykiss (rainbow trout). RNAcentral's name for it is "lncRNA (ENSOMYG00000059602.1)". Lineage: Eukaryota; Metazoa; Chordata; Actinopteri; Salmoniformes; Salmonidae. The record is from RNAcentral.
AUGUCUCACUGUCUGGGCAGGUCUGUCUCACUGUCUGUGCAGGUCUGUCUCACUGUCUGUGCAGGUCUUUCUCACUGUCUGGGCAGGUCUGUCUCACUGUCUGUGCAGGUCUGUCUCACUGUCUGGGCAGGUCUGUCUCACUGUCUGUGCAGGUCUGUCUCACUGUCUGUGCAGGUCUGUCUCACUGUCUGUGCAGGUCUGUCUCACUGUCUGUGCAGGUCUGUCUCACUGUCUGUGCAGGUCUUUCUCACUGUCUGUGCAGGUCUUUCUCACUGUCUGUGCAGGUCUUUCUCACUGUCUGUGCAGGUCUUUCUCACUGUCUGUGCAGGUCUUUCUCACUGUCUGUGCAGGUCUUUCUCACUGUCUGGACAGGUCUGUCUCACUGUCUGUGCAGGUCUGUCUCACUGCCUGUGCAGGUCUGUCUCACUGUCUGGACAGGUCUGUCUCACUGUCUGUGCAGGUCUGUCUCACUGUCUGUGCAGGUCUGUCUCACUGUCUGUGCAGGUCUUUCUCACUGUCUGUGCAGGUCUUUCUCACUGUCUGUGCAGGUCUUUCUCACUGUCUGUGCAGGUCUUUCUCACUGUCUGUGCAGGUCUUUCUCACUGUCUGUGCAGGUCUUUCUCACUGUCUGUGCAGGUCUGUCUCACUGUCUGGGCAGGUCUGUCUCACUGUCUGUGCAGGUCUGUCUCACUGUCUGUGCAGGUCUGUCUCACUGUCUGUGCAGGUCUGUCUCACUGUCUGUGCAGGUCUGUCUCACUGUCUGUGCAGGUCUGUCUCACUGUCUGUGCAGGUCUGUCUCACUGUCUGGGCAGGUCUGUCUCACUGUCUGUGCAGGUCUGUCUCACUGUCUGUGCAGGUCUGUCUCACUGUCUGUGCAGGUCUGUCUCACUGUCUGUGCAGGUCUGUCUCACUGUCUGUGCAGGUCUUUCUCACUGUCUGUGCAGGUCUUUCUCACUGUCUGUGCAGGUCUUUCUCACUGUCUGUGCAGGUCUUUCUCACUGUCUGUGCAGGUCUUUCUCACUGUCUGUGCAGGUCUUUCUCACUGUCUGGACAGGUCUGUCUCACUGUCUGUGCAGGUCUGUCUCACUGCCUGUGCAGGUCUGUCUCACUGUCUGGACAGGUCUGUCUCACUGUCUGUGCAGGUCUGUCUCACUGUCUGUGCAGGUCUGUCUCACUGUCUGUGCAGGUCUUUCUCACUGUCUGUGCAGGUCUUUCUCACUGUCUGUGCAGGUCUUUCUCACUGUCUGUGCAGGUCUUUCUCACUGUCUGUGCAGGUCUUUCUCACUGUCUGUGCAGGUCUUUCUCACUGUCUGUGCAGGUCUGUCUCACUGUCUGGGCAGGUCUGUCUCACUGUCUGUGCAGGUCUGUCUCACUGUCUGUGCAGGUCUGUCUCACUGUCUGUGCAGGUCUGUCUCACUGUCUGUGCAGGUCUGUCUCACUGUCUGUGCAGGUCUGUCUCACUGUCUGUGCAGGUCUGUCUCACUGUCUGGGCAGGUCUGUCUCACUGUCUGUGCAGGUCUGUCUCACUGUCUGUGCAGGUCUGUCUCACUGUCUGUGCAGGUCUGUCUCACUGUCUGUGCAGGUCUGUCUCACUGUCUGUGCAGGUCUGUCUCACUGUCUGUGCAGGUCUGUCUCACUGUCUGUGCUAUUGGAUAG